UCUGCCUUGGGUCUGUCUGGAGAGUGAGAGGAGAGAGAGAGAGCAGAGGCUCCAGGCCUAGUAUCUCACUGAGUUGUUGUUAGUAUGGGCCAAAGGGUCAGAAAGAGCUGUUUAUAGGAUCCGCCAUCAUCUCCGCUGCUGUCUGCUCCAGCAUUGGUUGCUGUUCACCCUGACCUUUGGAUUGUUGCUGUGGGCUGCUGUUGCAUCUUUUCACUGGCCGGUCUGUGAACCUCUCUGGCUGGGCUGCCAAGAAGUACUGGAUGCUGAUGAUUCCUGAAUCUUCUGCAACAUUAGUUGAGUUGGUUCUGGACUUAACUCAUUGCCAGAUUCUGGUACUCUCAGCUUUGCAUGGAGUGAAUAAAAUGAGAUUUAUGAGUGGAACCUGCCAUCUUCAGCUGGAAUUUAGCGUGUGACUCCUUCAGAAUGGACACUAAGCAGCCCCACAGCUGGAAGAUAUGUGGACCUGUCUACAACUCUCUCUCAACUCUUUAAGAUAUUGUUGAAGUUCUUGAAACAUCACGUAUUUAAGGUGUAUGGUUUGACAUAUGUAUAUACACAUCAUCAUGAUGAAAACUGAAUAUUUCCAUCACUCCUUCCCCACACAUCCACUGAUCAUCUUCUUGUCACUAUAUAUUCAAAUAUUUUCUCUAAAAUGUUAUUAAAAUGGAAUCUAACAGUAAAAG
Long non-coding RNA from Talpa occidentalis (Iberian mole), 683 nucleotides. RefSeq lists it as uncharacterized. Lineage: Eukaryota; Metazoa; Chordata; Mammalia; Eulipotyphla; Talpidae. The transcript has 3 exons. The record is from RefSeq and is a predicted model, not a curated record.